UACGAAGGGGGCUAGCGUUGCUCGGAAUCACUGGGCGUAAAGGGUGCGUAGGCGGGUUUUUAAGUCAGGGGUGAAAUCCUGGAGCUCAACUCCAGAACUGCCUUUGAUACUGAAAGUCUUGAGUAUGGGAGAGGUGAGUGGAACUGCGAGUGUAGAGGUGAAAUUCGUAGAUAUUCGCAAGAACACCAGUGGCGAAGGCGGCUCACUGGCCCAUAACUGACGCUGAGGCACGAAAGCGUGGGGAGCAAACAGG
Molecule: ribosomal RNA, 253 nt
Filed under: uncultured bacterium
Lineage: Bacteria
Description: partial 16S ribosomal RNA
Rfam family: Bacterial small subunit ribosomal RNA
Source: RNAcentral